This is a long non-coding RNA of Falco peregrinus (peregrine falcon), 580 nucleotides long. RefSeq lists it as uncharacterized. Lineage: Eukaryota; Metazoa; Chordata; Aves; Falconiformes; Falconidae. The transcript has 2 exons. The record is from RefSeq and is a predicted model, not a curated record.
UCCUCCCAGGGUCCUGGCAGAGGAGGAUGCUCCCAGUGCCAGAGGGUGCUGAGCAGCGGGGCUGGGAGCUACAAAAUGAACUUUGUGAGGCUGCAUGCAACAACUUCUGAGCUCAGGGGUGGAGAUCCUCCUGCUGCAUUAACAAAAGCCGAGAUUCCCAGAGAUGGAGGAGGAUUCUGGAAUACAAGAAAGGGGUUUUCACAACACACAUGAGAUUUCCUCUGGCCUGGAAGAAUAAUGUCGAGAGCCAACUGAAUUUCAAGGAGCCCUGACCCUUCAUCCCCCGUCAUCCCUAGCCGUUUUGUGGAGUUCACACAGAACAUCCUUUUUGUUCGCUUUGGUUUGCCAACAACAUAAAGUUUCGAGAUGUAUAGUCAGAACUAACACCUCAUCUCGCUGACUGAAUGUCUAUCUAAAAUGGGAUGGAAAGUAUGUAAAAAAUGUCCAUGCUGGAUCAAAUGAAAGGCCCUACCUAUUAGUCUCUUUCUAAUAGCUUUUCACCCUCUAUUGCAUCAUGUAUAUAGGAUUGUGUUCUGAGGUCCUAAAAAUAAUAAAUAAUAAUUUACUUAUUCAUUAUCUA